This 434-nucleotide ribosomal RNA is filed under the name uncultured bacterium. Its description in RNAcentral is "partial 16S ribosomal RNA". It matches the Rfam family "Bacterial small subunit ribosomal RNA", at positions 29 to 507 of the family's 1533-position model. The record is from RNAcentral.
AGCGAACGCUGGCGGCAGGCCUAACACAUGCAAGUCGAACGAACCUUUCGGGGUUAGUGGCGGACGGGUGAGUAACACGUGGGAACGUGCCUUUAGGCUCGGAAUAACUCAGGGAAACUUGUGCUAAUACCGAAUGUGCCCUUCGGGGGAAAGAUUUAUCGCCUUUAGAGCGGCCCGCGUCGGAUUAGCUAGUUGGUUGAGGUAAUGGCUCACCAAGGCGACCAACAGUAGCGGGUCUGUGAGGAUGAGCAGCCACAUUGGGACUGGGACACGGCCGAGAAUCCUACGGGAGGGAGCAGUGGGGAAUCUUGCGCAAUGGGCGAAAGCAUGACGCAGCCAGGCCGCGUGAAUGAUGAAGGUCGUAGGAUUGUAAAAUUCUUUAACCGGGGACGAUAAUGACGGUACCCGGAGAAGAAGCCCCGGCUAACUUCGUG